CUUGCAUUUCUUUUAUAUAAAGGAGCACGGCAAGAAUCAUAAACAUUAUAGCCUGCUGUAGUGGUUAUGGUGACAGUAGUACCCUGGCGCAUACCUACUGAAGUUCCAGGAGGGAUAAGCCAAAUGGCAAAUGAUUUAGGUAAACUAGAAAAAUGGUCAGAAUUGUGGCAACUGACAUUUAAUGUGGAUAAGUGCAAGAUAAUGCAUCUUGGAUGUAAAAACCCAAGUGCAGAGUACAGAAUAUUUGAUAGAGUCCUAACCUCAACAGAUGAGGAAAGGGAUUUAGGGGUGAUUAUUUCUGAUGACUUAAAGGUAGGCAGACAAUGUAAUAGAGCAGCAGGAAAUGCUAGCAGAAUGCUUGGUUGUCUAGGGAGAGGUAUUAGCAGUAGAAAGAGGGAAGUGCUCAUGCCAUUGUACAGAACACUGGUG
This is a non-coding RNA of Pelobates cultripes (western spadefoot toad), 429 nucleotides long. The record is from the annotation of a GenBank genome assembly. NCBI's taxonomy places the organism in Eukaryota, Metazoa, Chordata, Amphibia, Anura, Pelobatidae.